This is a long non-coding RNA of Folsomia candida, 362 nucleotides long. RefSeq lists it as uncharacterized. NCBI's taxonomy places the organism in Eukaryota, Metazoa, Arthropoda, Collembola, Entomobryomorpha, Isotomidae. The record is from RefSeq and is a predicted model, not a curated record. The transcript is spliced from 3 exons.
CAGGAAUUGCGUCGUGCCACCAUACCCUGCAUUUUUAUGUAUAUCGUCCUCCUCCAAAUCUUUGUGCACUGUGUGACCCAUGUCGUCAUGUCGUUUCACACGUCAUGGUUGGUCAAAAUGCUGGAUGGAAAACAUUGGAAACGACGCGUUUAUCCUGGACCAAUGAUUCCCUGGACGAGGGCCGACCUCCCAAAGAAAUUUCCGAAUCCUGAAGUGAAAAUUGGUGAAUUGCGACUUUGGUGCGGUCGUCGACGCGCAGUAAUCUUCUAUUUUAUCACGUGUUUCUUCUGUUGUGUCGGACUUAUCGGGCUUCUCUGCCUGCCGGAAGUGUUGUGUCGACAAGCAUAUUAUCAAAAUGAGGA